RNAcentral lists this non-coding RNA (18 nucleotides) under Arabidopsis thaliana (thale cress). The record is from RNAcentral. Lineage: Eukaryota; Viridiplantae; Streptophyta; Magnoliopsida; Brassicales; Brassicaceae.
GGGAUGGGUCGGCCGGUC